RNAcentral lists this ribosomal RNA (496 nucleotides) under uncultured bacterium. RNAcentral describes it as "partial 16S ribosomal RNA". It matches the Rfam family "Bacterial small subunit ribosomal RNA", at positions 28 to 506 of the family's 1533-position model. The record is from RNAcentral.
GAUGAACGCUGGCGGCGUGCCUAAUACAUGCAAGUCGAGCGAACAGAUGAGGAGCUUGCUCCUCUGACGUUAGCGGCGGACGGGUGAGUAACACGUGGAUAACCUACCUAUAAGACUGGGAUAACUUCGGGAAACCGGAGCUAAUACCGGAUAAUAUAUUGAACCGCAUGGUUCAAUAGUGAAAGACGGUUUUGCUGUCACUUAUAGAUGGAUCCGCGCCGCAUUAGCUAGUUGGUAAGGUAACGGCUUACCAAGGCAACGAUGCGUAGCCGACCUGAGAGGGGGAUCGGCCACACUGGAACUGAGACACGGUCCAGACUCCUACGGGAGGCAGCAGUAGGGAAUCUUCCGCAAUGGGCGAAAGCCUGACGGAGCAACGCCGCGUGAGUGAUGAAGGUCUUCGGAUCGUAAAACUCUGUUAUUAGGGAAGAACAAAUGUGUAAGUAACUAUGCACGUCUGGACGGUACCUAAUCAGAAAGCCACGGCUAACUACGU